Molecule: ribosomal RNA, 484 nt
Filed under: uncultured bacterium
Lineage: Bacteria
Description: bacterial SSU rRNA
Rfam family: Bacterial small subunit ribosomal RNA
Source: RNAcentral
GACGAACGCUGGCGGCGUGCUUAAUACAUGCAAGUCAACGACUUUUAGAGUAGCAAUAUUCUAAAGGAAGUGGCGCACGGGUGAGUAACACGUAGGUAAUCUGCCUUCAGGACUGACACAACUCGUCGAAAGACGGGCUAAUAUCAGAUAAUGCAGCGGCUCCGCAUGGAGACAGUUGUUAAAGUACAAGCGCCUGAAGAUGAGCCUGCGGUCCAUUAGCUAGUUGGUAGAGUAAAGCCUACCAAGGCAACGAUGGAUAGCUGGUCUGAGAGGAUGAUCAGCCACACUGGAACUGAGACACGGUCCAGACUCCUACGGGAGGCAGCAGUAAGGAAUAUUGCUCAAUGGCCGAAAGGCUGAAGCAGCAACGCCGCGUGAAGGAUGAAUGGCCUUUGGCCUGUAAACUUCUGUAAAAGGGAAAACAGUCAGGUAUAUCCUGAUUUGAUUGUACCUUUGAAGUAAGACCCGGCUAACUACGUGCCAG